AACUCUUAGCGGGGGAUCACUCGGCUCGUGCGUCGAUGAAGAACGCAGCUAGCUGCGAGAACUAAUGUGAUUUGCAGGACACAUUCUUAUUUAAAUCUUAUUUAAGAUUAAAUGCUUAUUUAAAUAAGA
This 129-nucleotide ribosomal RNA is filed under the name Poecilia reticulata (guppy). RNAcentral describes it as "5.8S ribosomal RNA (ENSPREG00000011834.1)". It matches the Rfam family "5.8S ribosomal RNA". From Rfam's summary of the family: 5.8S ribosomal RNA (5.8S rRNA) is a component of the large subunit of the eukaryotic ribosome. It is transcribed by RNA polymerase I as part of the 45S precursor that also contains 18S and 28S rRNA. The record is from Rfam by way of RNAcentral. Lineage: Eukaryota; Metazoa; Chordata; Actinopteri; Cyprinodontiformes; Poeciliidae.